AGUGAGUUGAUCAGGAAAAUGUAGUGGGAUUUCCAGGCAGCCUGGGAGUCUAUUUGAAACUGGUGAUGAUGGUGGAAGCAAUCUUCUCAGUCAUGUGACUCUCCUGCGGGGCUGGGUUACUUUUCUUGGGAGAAAGUUUAGCUCUGAUGGGAGUGGCUGAACAAGCCAGCUGGAAGGACGGGUUAUUGUGGUCAGAAGGUGGGCAGAUUGAAUUUUGCAUCUGGAGAUAGCAAGAUUAUGGGUGCUGACAAUGUCCAGGAAGUGACCAUGGGCCUGUGUGGCUGAGGUGAUCAAGAAAAUGAGAGGCCAAGGGGUUAUGUGUAUCUUCCCAGGAGAGCUCUGUGACUGCUUUGACCAAUACAAGACAGCAGGAGUGAAGGUGGACUCAGCUUUUAACUGGUUCCUGCAGUCCUGACCAGUCAUCAAGCAGCUACUCAGACAGAGAGGCCGCGUGGAGGAGGCUUGAGGCAUCAGUCGUGUGGUGAAGAAGCCAUCUUGGACCCCCAGCCCCGGCUCUUACCUAGAUGCAGCUGCACCAGCUGAGCCCAAUCAACCCGCAGAUCCCUGAGAGAUAAUGAUAAAUAGCUGUGCCUUUGCUCUCAGCCUACCCCUUCGUGCUCCACACCCCAGUGAUAGUGAGAGGAGUACCAGAAACGAAGGGAUGGAAGAAUAGCAGCUGGAGGAGAAGGAUGGAGCAGAAAACAGCGAGUUCAAGAAGGAUUGGGAGAGAAUUUUUGGUGAGGAGCUGAGAGCAAAGCAAGGAGAAAGAUGGUUUGAAGACACUCCAGAAUAUGAGGGAGGUAGAGAGUGAGAGGAAAAGGAGGAAGGGGGUUUUAAGAAACGAUCACUUAGGGGCUGGCCCGGUGGCUGGGUGGUUAAAUUCUCGCGCUCUGCUGCUGCGGCCUGGGGUUUUGCCAGUUCAGAUCCUGGGCGCAGACAUGGCACUGCUCAUCAAGCUAUGCUGAGGCAGCAUCCCACAUGCCACACUAGAAGGACCCAUAACUAAGAAUAUACAACUAUGUACUGGGGGGCUUUGGGGAGAAAAAGGAAAAAAAUAAAAUCUUAAAAAAAAAAGAAAUGGUGACUUAGUUUAAACUUAAAUUUGUCUGGUGGUUUCUUUGCACUGACACGGCACAGAGGCUAUGCCCAUGGGAGCCCAGCGUUAGGUUAC
RNAcentral lists this long non-coding RNA (1171 nucleotides) under Equus caballus (horse). RNAcentral's name for it is "lncRNA (ENSECAG00000055927.1)". The record is from RNAcentral. Lineage: Eukaryota; Metazoa; Chordata; Mammalia; Perissodactyla; Equidae.